GAUGAACGCUAGCUACAGGCUUAACACAUGCAAGUCGAGGGGCAUCACAAGGUAGCAAUACUGAGGUGGCGACCGGCGCACGGGUGAGUAACACGUAUCCAACCUGCCGUUUACUCUUGGAUAGCCUUCUGAAAAGGAGAUUAAUACAAGAUAGUAUCAUGAGAUCACAUGUUCACAUGAUUAAAGAAUUUCGGUAAACGAAGGGGAUGCGUUCCAUUAGAUAGUAGGCGGGGUAACGGCCCACCUAGUCUACGAUGGAUAGGGGUUCUGAGAGGAAGGUCCCCCACACUGGUACUGAGACACGGACCAGACUCCUACGGGAGGCAGCAGUAGGGAAUUUUCCACAAUGGACGCAAGUCUGAUGGAGCAACGCCGCGUGUGCGAAGAAGGCCUUCGGGUUGUAAAGCACUGUUGUAAGGGAAGAAUGGAUAGGAGAGGAAAUGCUCUUAUUAUGACGGUACCUUACCAGAAAGCCACGGCUAACUACGUGCCAGCAGCCGCAGUAAAAC
This 509-nucleotide ribosomal RNA is filed under the name uncultured bacterium. RNAcentral's name for it is "bacterial SSU rRNA". It matches the Rfam family "Bacterial small subunit ribosomal RNA", at positions 28 to 526 of the family's 1533-position model. The record is from RNAcentral.